RNAcentral lists this ribosomal RNA (1387 nucleotides) under metagenome. RNAcentral's name for it is "bacterial SSU rRNA". It matches the Rfam family "Bacterial small subunit ribosomal RNA", at positions 125 to 1498 of the family's 1533-position model. The record is from RNAcentral.
UGUACCCCUUUGUGCGGAAUAACUCCUGGAAACAGGGGCUAAUACCGCAUGUGGUUCGGACGGCGUAGGUCGACCGAGCGAAAGGUGCGCUUCGCGCGUGCCGCUAAGGGAUCAGCCCGCUUCCGAUUAGUUUGUUGGUGGGGUAACGGCCUACCAAGACUACGAUCGGUAGGUGGCCUGAGAGGGUGGUCACUCACACUGGGAUUGAGAUACUGCCCAGACCCCUACGGGGGGCAGCAGUCUAGGAGCUUGAACAAUGCGCGAAAGCGUGAUUUAGCGACGCCGCGUGCGGGAUGAAGGCCGGAAGGUCGUAAACCGCUGUCAGCAGGGAAGAAUGCCCCGAUGGUGAAUCGGGGAGCGACGGUACCUGCAGAGGAAGCCCCGGCUAACUCCGUGCCAGCAGCCGCGGUAAUACGGAGGGGGCAAACGUUGUUCGGAUUUACUGGGCGUAAAGAGUGCGUAGGCGGCUUGGUAAGUCUGGUGUCAAAUCUCCCCGCUCAACGGGGAAUCGGCACUGGAAACUGCUGAGAUCGAGGAUGGGAGAGGCAGGUGGAAUUCCGGGUGUAGCGGUGGAAUGCGUAGAUAUCCGGAAGAACACUCGUGGCGAAGGCGGCCUGCUGGCCCACUCCUGACGCUGAGGCACGAAAGCUAGGGGAGCGAACAGGCUUAGAUACCCUGGUAGUCCUAGCCGUAAACGGUGAACACUAGGUGUCGGGGGUAUCGACCCCCUCGGUGCCGGAGCUAACGCGUUAAGUGUUCCGCCUGGGGAGUACGACCGCAAGGUUGAAACUCAAAGGAAUUGACGGGUCCCCGCACAAGCGGUGGAGGAUGUGGCUUAAUUCGACGCAACGCGAAGAACCUUACCAGGGCUUAAACCGCAGGGUAAACCCCUUGAAAAAGGGGCUGCUUCGGCAAUCCUGUAGAGGUGCUGCAUGGCUGUCGUCAGCUCGUGUCGUGAGAUGUUGGGUUAAGUCCCGCAACGAGCGCAACCCUUGCCCUUAGUUGCCAGCGCGUAAUGGCGGGAACUCUAGGGGGACUGCCGUCGUAAGGCGGAGGAAGGUGGGGACGAGGUCAAUUCAUCAUGGCCCUUAUGUCCUGGGCUGCACACGUCCUACAAUGGCCGGUACAACGGGCAGCGAACUCGCGAGAGUAAGCGAAUCUCUUAAAGCCGGCCCCAGUUCAGAUUGCAGUCUGCAACCCGACUGCAUGAAGGAGGAAUCGCUAGUAAUCGCGGAUCAGCAUGCCGCGGUGAAUACGUUCCCGGGGAUUGUACACACCGCCCGUCACAUCACGAAAGUCGGCGGUAGCGGAAGUCGCUGAGCUAACCCGCAAGGGAGGCAGGCGCCGAUGCUAUGGCUGGUGAUUGGGAUGAAGUCGUAACAAGGUA